Molecule: long non-coding RNA, 7761 nt
Organism: Rosa rugosa (rugosa rose)
Lineage: Eukaryota; Viridiplantae; Streptophyta; Magnoliopsida; Rosales; Rosaceae
Exons: 3
Source: RefSeq, a predicted model, not a curated record
GCAUUUUAAUGUGGUAUUUUAAUAGUUAAUUCCUCACAUUUUGCUUAGUUAAUUCCUUAACGAAUCGAUUUUUAACUCAAUUUCUAUUUUCUUAGGUACAUUGGAGUAAAUGAUGGUGAAAUGAGCAUUAGGUCCACACUUACCUAUAAAUGGUGGAGAAAAAUGGAAAUGUACUAAAAUGUCAAUUUUACACAUUUUCCUACUCCGGCUAGGAGAAACCAAGCCAAGCAAGGAAGAAGGAGCGGCCGCCUGACCAAAUGAACUCCAAAUGAGCUGAAACUUUCCAGAUCCAUUCUAGACAUCCUAAGGAUCGUUUCUUAUGAAGAGUGCCAGAGCUAGAAUUGAGUGGAAGGCCUUCAAACAAUCAGCCCAAUUUCCUGCAGAAGCAAAACUGGAAAACUGGACCCGUAAGGAGUCCAGCAGCAUUUUCGGCCCAACCACAUGGAAUAAAAAUCUGAAAUUUUACCAGGGUGAUCUACACUCAUAAUGGAACAUUUUUUAUGAAGAGGUCAUAGUGAAAUUGGGAAUGCUUGUUGGAGAAAUAAUUGAAGGAAUAAAGGGGCAGAAACUGAUCUAAAAACAGCUCAACACCACAUGUUCAAGUUUCCUACCCACAUGAAGAAAGCUAGAUGCUUUUCUCUUUUUCCUUGGAUAUAUUUUUCUGCUCCAAUAGAUCAUCAUCACUUCCAUACUUCUACACCUUCAUGCCUUGCUUUCAUUUCAUCAUUACUCCAUCUUUUCCAUAUUUUACAAACCACUUUCAUUAUUUUUCUUCCAUUUAUCAUUUCACUCUUCUUUUUCUUCCCUAUAUAAACACCUUCUCCUCUCACUCUAAAAACAUUCCUUCAUCCAUUCCAUCUUCUUUGUCUCUCCAUUUCCUUUCCAUUUUUCUCUCCAUUCUCUAGUUGCAAAAUUCUGCGUUUUCAAGUAAGAAGAAGAAGAAGAAGAAGGAGCCGGGAAUAUCAUAUCCUCCAUCGUCCACCUUGAAGGCUUGCUUCCAAGAUUCAAGAUUUCAACGUUUCAAGCACUCCAUCUCCAUCUCCAACUCACGGUGUGUACCCUCAAUCCCCGGAAUAGAACGAUCCCUAUUUGCUUAUACUACUAACGAUGUUUUCAGGGUUAAAUUAUGCGCUUGCUUUGAGCGUAUCAAUUUUUGGCGCCGUUGCCGGGGAAUUGAAAAAUCACUUGUUUUUGUUUAUAAUUAUUGUAUAUAAACUGUUUGAAACUUAGUUUAAAUUAACUAGGUUGUUUUUUUUAUAUUGUUGAAUACGAGUUUAAUUGUGAGUUGUAAAUUAAAGAAGGAAUAGGUGAAGUCGUGUUUAUUAAUAUUGGCCUAAACCCCUUAUUGGUACCUAGUUCAGGUCCCUUAAGGUUGAGGGCGGCCUUUAUUAACAUUCAUUGAACUGUCUAACACACUUAGGACCUUUUACAUCCUAGUAAGAAUAUCCUAUGUGAGAUGGUGUCUAGGAAGGGGACAACGUUCAUGACGGGUUUUUGAAUCCAGAAGUGCUUACAAAUGGGCCUAGCUCAUGCCAAAAUGGAUUUUUCCUCUCGUGUUCGUCCUCCCCUACCUGGCCAUUUCAGUAAGGUUGCCCAACGGAUGUAGGAGGGACUUUGUGUCUAGGCGACUAUACUUGGGCCGCAUGUCCACUUGAUUUACCGCUUGGAAUUAGAUUUGAUAUCAAUAAUAUUUAUGACAAAAGAAAAUGUAACAAAAUGUUGUGAUACACUAAGGUAAAAAAAAAAAAAAAAAAAAACAUUUGUGUAAAUAUUUUUCAUGUUUUUUUUUUACUCACUUGUGUACCUAACUUGUGUCUUGUGUACAAAAUACUUGUUAAUUAUACUUGUAGUUUGUAAUUCAUAGUUACUUGUUUAUAUUUUUUUUGUAUUUCUUUGUUAAUAUUAAGUUACUAACUUUAUUUAAUGUAGGUACCGUCUGGCUGCAAGACGUAAAAUACAAGCGCUGCUUGGGAGGCAACCCAAUUCAGAAUAUAAUCAGAUUUGCUUUCUCUUCCCCUUUUACUCCUCCAUUUUCUUUUUGUUUUAGUAGUUAUUUUCGUAAAUUCCAUCCCUAUAUGCUUACUUAUUUCAUUGCAUGCUUUUAAUUGAUUACAUUGAGGAUAAUGCAAUAUUUAAGUGUGGGGGAAGGGAUUUAUAUUUUUGUCUUUCAUUUUGAAUCCUAUAAAUAUUUUUGUCUUUCAUUUUGUGUCCUAUAAAUAUUUUUGAGUCCUAUAUUUUUUAAUAAUAAUAAAAAUAAAAUAAAAAUAAAAAUAAAAAUAAAAUAAAAUGCAUUCAUUCAGUCUUAUUAAAUUCAGCUUUUUACAAAAAAAAAAAAAAAUAAUAAUAAAAAAAAAAAAAUUUAAAAAAAAAAUAAUAAUAAAAAAAAAAAAAAAUGCAUUCAUUCAGUCUUAUUAAUUUCAGCUAUUUACAAAAAAAAAAAAAAAAUAAUAAUAAUAAUAAUAAUAAUAAUACUCUAUACUAAGCCAUGUCUGCAUCUCUGUAGGAGUUGAGGCUGAGCUCAAGGGAAAUGUGAGAGCCACCGCCAUAACCGCUACCUCCCUCGGAAGUAGUCUUCAUGAUGCCCAAGAUGUCCUCACCAUGCAUGGGGAACAAUGGAAGAGUUUCAAUCUCCUGGUGAUCUCCUCCUCGUUGUUGCAGGGAUGUUUGUCCUCCUGUUGUGCCAAAAGAGUUGUACUGGUAUUAGUGUUGAAGUGUGAGGAAGAAUAUGAAACAAAAUUUAAAUCAAGAAAUCCUUCAUUACCAGUAGAAUCGGUGGAACCAAAGUUGAGAUUAAUGGAUCUACCAUCAUCAGUAGAACUAGUGGACCCAAAAUUGAUGUCAAUGGAUCCACCAGCUGGCCCAAAAUUGAUGUCGAUGGAUCCACCAGCACCAGUAGAACCAGUGGACCCAAAAUUGAGAUCAAUGGAUCCACCAGUACCAGGAGAACUAGUUCCCAUGGGCACUUGAGCAGCCUGAUUGCACCUCUUCAUCUGCUUCUCUCGAGCCCUGACAUUCUGGAACCAAAAAUAAAUGUUCUUGCCCUCAACAUGUCCAUACUGGUUCAGCUGGAGACAGAUCUCGUGAAUAUGCUCUGUAGUUGGGCGCUUAACUCCCUUGUCGUAGUAAAGAUCCUUGAGGAUCCUUAUUUGAUCUGGAGUAGGAACCCACCUGGCACGGCUUCGCCAGAAAUCUGUGUUGGCAUUACUCCCGGCUGCUUGGUUGUUUCCUCCAUCCUCGAUUUGUUGCUGGGUUUGUAGCUCCAUCAGUUGCAGAGUUCGUGGUUCCAUGGUGAUGGGUUGAGGGGAUGUGAAGAUCGAAGAGUAAAGUUGUCGAGUGUUUGAAGGAGUUGUUGUUAAAGGGAUUAAGGAUGAUGAUGGUGUGUUGGAGAUCUGAAAGUUCAGAGGAAAGAUGGGAUUGAAUCAACUAGAUGGGAGAGAAGAUCAGAAGAGAAGGAUUGAAUCGAAGAAGAAAUAUUUUGAGUUUUGAAAGAAGAGGAAAGCUGAAGAGUUGGGAGAGAGGGGCUGGAACUCAGGAGAGAUUUUCGUUCCUUUGGAGUGAACAGUUGCGCCCUCAGAAUGCACCUAUUUAUAGAGCGAGGUGAGCAGAUCUCCACCGUUGGAUGGACGAUUCCUGUGAUUCAUUCUACGCGUUGGAUUAAAGUCGCCCUGAAACCCGGAAAAGUUGUUGGCGCGUGGAGAGCGUGUAAGGGGACCGAGGGAAUCUCGAGGCGCUGUGGCAGACAGCUGUAGCCGAAAGCAGAUUUGACUGCCGUAAAUCACGGAAGGGAUAAGCCGUGACACAAGUGGGCCGUACUUGGGCCUGUCUCGGAUCAAGGCAUCACUGUAGCUGUGGGUGGAGGCCUGAUGGGCCGAGUUUCAGAAACAGUUUUGGACAUGAUGGGCCGAGUUUCUGAAACAGUUUUGGAUGAGUUGGGCUGGGUUUCUGCAACAGUCUUGGAUGUUUUGUGCCGAAUUGUUGAAACAGUUGAAACAGUUGGUUUAAAUAAAAGGAUUGGUAUGGAUAAUAACGUGAGCAGCCGUGCUCGAGUGGUUGAGUGUAAAGUUCGUGUACAAGAGGUCUGAGGUUCGAACCUCGCCUCUCGUUUAUUUUUAUUAUGUUCGUUUAUGACAUAAUAAGUAUAAAAUUUGUACACAUUAUAUUAAGCACAGCUUGUGCUCCAGUGGUUGGGGACAAAGGUUUCGUGUAGCAGGUUAAGGUUUCGAACCUUGCCUCCCCCGUUUUUUUUUUAUUUAUGUCACUCCAUCAGAACCCUCCUCCGAAGGCUGAAACCAGCAAGAAGGCUGCCACUCGCCCGCAUACCGCUCCUCCAAAGGAGUAAAUGGAGGUACAAGUCUAGGCUGAAAGACUUUAAACAUUAAGCGCUGCAUGGGAGGCAACCCAUUUCAACCGUAGCUGUGGAGGAGCCGCCUACACAGAUUUGCUUUCUCUUUCCCUAUCUCUUUUUAUUUUUUAAUUUUUUCUCUUUUGUUUUUAUUUUAGGAUUUAUUUUCAUAAAUGUCUUCUAUCUAUGCUUAUUUGUUUCAUUGCAUGCUUAUGAUUGAUUACAUUGAGGACAAUGCAAUAUUUAAGUGUGGGGGAAGGGAUUUAUAUUUGAGUCUUUUAUUUUGAGUCAUAUAUAUUGGAAAAUACAAAAAAAUCGAAAAAUGUCAAAAAUUAAAAAAAUUUCGUUGAUUUUAUUUAUUGAGUCUUAGUCCUUUGUUUUUAUUUUUGAGUCAUAGGAUGCCCUUUUAACUGUCUAGGAUGAGCUUAUAUCUCUGAAAUUAAGGCUAAAAGAGGAUCACAACAUUGAGAUGAUUUUAACAUGGUAUUCUUUGGUUAAUUGAGAUAUAUGAAAAAUGUAUGCACUUGUAGUGGAUAUGGAUUGCAUGACCUUGGUACAGAAUAUGAGCAUGUUAAGAUGAGUUGUGAUUCAUAAAAUCCAUGUGAGAUAAUUGAACCAUGUCCCUUUUUCUUGGAGUGAAAUGAAAAAUAUAUUCUUAAUUUCUUGGCGAUGUUUUGAUGAUCUCAUUAUUCUUUCAUCUUGAUUGACUGCUUGCCAUAGAUUAAGUUUAAUUGACUAGAGAAUGCUAGAAUUCGCUCUUGUGCUUGUUGAGACGUGAUAUCAAUACAUGGCCCUGAUUCUGGAAGGGAUAGAGGUUCUCUAGGAAUUACCACCAUUGCUAAAUAAACUUGUGUCCCCAUUUGUGCCCAUCGUGGGACCCCCCUAGAUAAACCCCUUUGAGCCUACAUUAAGCCUUUUCUUUCAUCACCCUAAAAAUCCUUAACCCCUGAACCUUAGUAUAGUGAUAAUCCUACCCUUUGUUCUAAAAACUUAGUGGAGCUAUCUUUUGAGACAUACUACAUGGGUUUGGUGCUAAGGAUGAAGAUUGAGAAGAGGUGAAAGUUCAAGUGUGGGGAUAGACUUGUCCAUAAAGAAAAAGAUAUGUUGAAGCCGUGAAAAAAUGAAAAGAAAAGAGAAAAAUUGUGUACGGCUAAAAAGAAAAAGAAAGAAAAAAAAUAUAUAUGUUUAUGGACUUUCAUCCCCCAUACUUAGUGAUUUUGGAGUUUGCUUUGAAUUGAAGGCCCACUACAGAAAAAUUUGACCUUUGUCCAUUUCACUAGAGUUCAAAGGAAGUUUAGAAGGAAGGUUGGGCCCAACAUGAAGACAUUAGCCCUUUUAUUUUACCUCUAUGGGUGUGGCGUUUUGAGUUGGUGGAUUUCUAGAAGUCUCUCUACAUCUGCAUGAGCUCUGCUAGGUUUUUAGGAUACUUUGACAUUCCAUACCUUUCAUUUCUGAAAACUUUGAGCCUUAGCCCCAUUACAACCCUUUGAGAAGACCUUCUUGAUCCUUAAGAUGGGACAGCCUUUGAUGUGGAGAUGAGUUACAAGAGUUGAACCUAUGGCUUGGGUCCAUUCGUGCAAGUAGUUGAUAUCCUUCAUGAGAUCUUUUGAAAAAAAAAUUAUAUUCACAAAGUGCUUUUCGUUUCUUAUAUAUGUGAGCUAUUUGACUGCCUUAAAAUAUGUUCUCUCACAUAUAAAUGAGUGAUUAUAAGCUUUUAAGCAUUGCCUUGAUCUGAGAGAAGAAAGAGUGGAUAUACCUUGUGAGGAUAUGAAUCAUACUUGUCUGAAGCAUGCUAAGCUAAACCCCAUCACCAUUGUUACAACCAAGUCCUACUUGUGUAUGUGUGGAUCAUAUGUUUUAAUUAACUCUCGAAUGCUUAACAUUGAUUCUUGGUUGAGUGCUAAUCUUGGUGUUGUGAAAGUAAGAGAUUUCUGAGUCAAUAUGUUAAAGGGCAAUAGAGGUCUUUGUGAUGUCAACAUCUUGGUCUUUGUCUUUGAAUUUACUCUUUUAUGUGUGACGUUUUUUUUUUUCUUUGUGUUUUGCUUUGUGUUUUACGUUUUUGGUUUCUUUGAGUCUUUGUGUUUUUGUUUCCAUACUUAGUCAUUUUUUUCGUUGGUUUCUUUGUUUUGUGUCAUAGUCUUUUUGGUUUGUUAGUUUUUGAUUUUGCUAAGGGACUAGCAAAAGCUAAGUGUGGGGGAAUUUGAUAGGAGCAUUUUAAUGUGGUAUUUUAAUAGUUAAUUCCUCACAUUUUGCUUAGUUAAUUCCUUAACGAAUCGAUUUUUAACUCAAUUUCUAUUUUCUUAGGUACAUUGGAGUAAAUGAUGGUGAAAUGAGCAUUAGGUCCACACUUACCUAUAAAUGGUGGAGAAAAAUGGAAAUGUACUAAAAUGUCAAUUUUACACAUUUUCCUACUCCGGCUAGGAGAAACCAAGCCAAGCAAGGAAGAAGGAGCGGCCGCCUGACCAAAUGAACUCCAAAUGAGCUGAAACUUUCCAGAUCCAUUCUAGACAUCCUAAGGAUCGUUUCUUAUGAAGAGUGCCAGAGCUAGAAUUGAGUGGAAGGCCUUCAAACAAUCAGCCCAAUUUCCUGCAGAAGCAAAACUGGAAAACUGGACCCGUAAGGAGUCCAGCAGCAUUUUCGGCCCAACCACAUGGAAUAAAAAUCUGAAAUUUUACCAGGGUGAUCUACACUCAUAAUGGAACAUUUUUUAUGAAGAGGUCAUAGUGAAAUUGGGAAUGCUUGUUGGAGAAAUAAUUGAAGGAAUAAAGGGGCAGAAACUGAUCUAAAAACAGCUCAACACCACAUGUUCAAGUUUCCUACCCACAUGAAGAAAGCUAGAUGCUUUUCUCUUUUUCCUUGGAUAUAUUUUUCUGCUCCAAUAGAUCAUCAUCACUUCCAUACUUCUACACCUUCAUGCCUUGCUUUCAUUUCAUCAUUACUCCAUCUUUUCCAUAUUUUACAAACCACUUUCAUUAUUUUUCUUCCAUUUAUCAUUUCACUCUUCUUUUUCUUCCCUAUAUAAACACCUUCUCCUCUCACUCUAAAAACAUUCCUUCAUCCAUUCCAUCUUCUUUGUCUCUCCAUUUCCUUUCCAUUUUUCUCUCCAUUCUCUAGUUGCAAAAUUCUGCGUUUUCAAGUAAGAAGAAGAAGAAGAAGAAGGAGCCGGGAAUAUCAUAUCCUCCAUCGUCCACCUUGAAGGCUUGCUUCCAAGAUUCAAGAUUUCAACGUUUCAAGCACUCCAUCUCCAUCUCCAACUCACGGUGUGUACCCUCAAUCCCCGGAAUAGAACGAUCCCUAUUUGCUUAUACUACUAACGAUGUUUUCAGGGUUAAAUUAUGCGCUUGCUUUGAGCGUAUCAAUGGGGAAAUGAUCAUUUACUCAUUUUUAGUUUAAAAAUUGCCUACUUACCCAAACACUCU